GCUUACGGCCAUACCACCCUGAGCACGCCCGAUCUCAUCUGAUCUCGGAAGCUAAGCAGUGUCGGGCCUUGUUAGAACUUGGAUGGGAAACCGCCUGGGAAUACCAGGUGCUGUAAGCU
This 119-nucleotide ribosomal RNA is filed under the name Betta splendens (Siamese fighting fish). The record is from RNAcentral. Lineage: Eukaryota; Metazoa; Chordata; Actinopteri; Anabantiformes; Osphronemidae.